This is a long non-coding RNA of Grammomys surdaster, 311 nucleotides long. RefSeq lists it as uncharacterized. The transcript has 4 exons. Lineage: Eukaryota; Metazoa; Chordata; Mammalia; Rodentia; Muridae. The record is from RefSeq and is a predicted model, not a curated record.
GAUGUGAAUUUCUUCAAAGUAAGAAAUCCUCAGAGGAAAUUGCACAGUAUAUUCAAAGCUACAAGGGAUUUGUUCAUGUAACGGGAGAACAUUUUCUGAAGUCCUGGAUCAGAAGAGAACUACCUAUGGUAUCAGCUUACUGCAAUGAGAGUGUCUUUGCUAAUGAAGAACUAAGGAUGGACACCUUUAAGGACUGGCCCCAAGAAUCACCUGUGGCUGUUGAAGCUCUGGUAAGAGCAGGCCUUUCCUACACAGGCAAAAAGGACAUUGUCCAGUGUUUUUCCUGUGGAGGAUGUAUGGAGAAGUGGGAG